AGGAAAAGAAACAAACAUGGAUAGCCCCAGUAACGGCGAGUGAAGCGGCUACAGCUCAAAUUUGAAAUCUGGCCCUCUUUGGGGGUCCGAGUUGUAAUUUGCAGAGGAUGCUUCGGCAUUGGCGGCGGUCUAAGUUCCCUGGAACAGGACAUCGCAGAGGGUGAGAAUCCCGUACGUGGGCGCCUGCCUUUGCCGUGUGAAGCUCCUUCGACGAGUCGAGUUGUUUGGGAAUGCAGCUCUAAAUGGGAGGUAAAUUUCUUCUAAAGCUAAAUACUGGCCAGAGACCGAUAGCGCACAAGUAGAGUGAUCGAAAGAUGAAAAGUACUUUGGAAAGAGAGUCAAACAGCACGUGAAAUUGUUGAAAGGGAAGCGCUUGCAGCCAGACGUGCCCGCAGUUGCUCACCCGGGCCCCGGCCCGGGGCACUCUUCUGCGGGCAGGCCAGCAUCGGUUUGGGCGGUCGGACAAAGGCCUCUAUCAAGUACCACCCCUCGGGGUGGCCUUAUAGGGGAGGCGCAAUGCGACCAGCCCGGACCGAGGUCCGCGCAUCUGCUAGGAUGCUGGCGUAAUGGCUGUAAGCGGCCC
RNAcentral lists this ribosomal RNA (583 nucleotides) under Leptosphaerulina sp. RNAcentral describes it as "partial large subunit ribosomal RNA". It matches the Rfam family "Eukaryotic large subunit ribosomal RNA", at positions 54 to 650 of the family's 3401-position model. The record is from RNAcentral. Lineage: Eukaryota; Fungi; Ascomycota; Dothideomycetes; Pleosporales; Didymellaceae.